RNAcentral lists this ribosomal RNA (820 nucleotides) under Cortinarius infractus. RNAcentral describes it as "eukaryotic LSU rRNA". The stretch from base 291 to 444 matches the Rfam family "5.8S ribosomal RNA". Lineage: Eukaryota; Fungi; Basidiomycota; Agaricomycetes; Agaricales; Cortinariaceae. The record is from RNAcentral.
AAAGUCGUAACAAGGUUUCCGUAGGUGAACCUGCGGAAGGAUCAUUAUUGAAAUAAACCUGAUGGGUUGUUGCUGGUUCUCUAGGGAGCAUGUGCACGCUUGUCAUCUUUAUAUCUCCACCUGUGCACUUUUUGUAGACCUGGAUAAUCUUUCUGAAUGCACUUGCAUUUCAGGUUUGAGGAAUUGACUUCAUGUCUCUCCUUACAUUUCCAGGCCUAUGUUUCUUCAUAUACCCCUAUGUAUGUUUCAGAAUGUAACAGGAUGGGCCUUUUGUGCCUAUAAAUAUAUACAACUUUCAGCAACGGAUCUCUUGGCUCUCGCAUCGAUGAAGAACGCAGCGAAAUGCGAUAAGUAAUGUGAAUUGCAGAAUUCAGUGAAUCAUCGAAUCUUUGAACGCACCUUGCGCUCCUUGGUAUUCCGAGGAGCAUGCCUGUUUGAGUGUCAUUAAUAUAUCAACCUCUUCGGCUUAUGCUUGUUGAGUGUUGGAUGGUGGGGGUUUUGCUGGUGUCUUAUGAAGUCAGCUCCCCUGAAAUGCAUUAGCGGAACAAUUUGUUGACCGUUCAUUGGUGUGAUAAAAUAUCUACGCUAUUGACGUCAGUCAGUUCAGCUUCUAACAGUCCAUUGACUUGGACAAAUUUUCAUUAAUGUGACCUCAAAUCAGGUAGGACUACCCGCUGAACUUAAGCAUAUCAAUAAGCGGAGGAAAAGAAACUAACAAGGAUUCCCCUAGUAACUGCGAGUGAAGCGGGAAAAGCUCAAAUUUAAAAUCUGGCAGUCUUUGGCUGUCCGAGUUGUAAACUAGAGAAGUGUUAUCCGCGCU